This 703-nucleotide ribosomal RNA is filed under the name Colletes jankowskyi. Its description in RNAcentral is "eukaryotic LSU rRNA". It matches the Rfam family "Eukaryotic large subunit ribosomal RNA", at positions 366 to 799 of the family's 3401-position model. The record is from RNAcentral. Lineage: Eukaryota; Metazoa; Arthropoda; Insecta; Hymenoptera; Colletidae.
GAAAAGAACUUUGAAGAGAGAGUUCAAGAGUACGUGAAACCGUUCAGGGGUAAACCUGAGAAACCCAAAAGAUCGAAUGGGGAGAUUCAUCGACGACGAAGCUGGCUCCCGUUGGCGUGCGAUUCCCCCGUUGGGACCUCGGUUCCAGAACGCGGGGUACACCCCUUCGGCGAAUAACCGGCGACGUAGUCGUGCACUUCUCCCUUAGUAGAACGUCGCGACCCGUUGUGUGUCGGUCUACGGCCUGGGCUACUUGCCUGUCGCGGUGGCAUUCGUUCGCUCGCGGCAGAGGCUCGGUCGCCCGGCCGGCUGCACGACGGUACUCCGACGGUAUCGGGCCGCAACCAGUCCAUUCUCGAAUGGUAUAUGCGUCCAGGCCCGUCGCAAGCUCGGACAGCACCCGGAGCGUGUGGACGCAGCGCCCUCCCCGGGUCUGGCCAGCUGUUAGCAGACGGUGUCCUCGGACCGGCCAAGCUUCGAAUUACCGGUCAGCGACGCUAUUGCUUUGGGUACUCUCAGGACCCGUCUUGAAACACGGACCAAGGAGUCUAACAUGUGCGCGAGUCAUUGGGACAUUGAAACCUAAAGGCGAAAUGAAAGUGAAAGUCGUCGUAAGCGUCGACCAAGGGAGGAUGGGCCGCGUCACGUCGCGGCCUCGCACUCCCGGGGCGUCUCGUUCUCGUUGAGAAGAGGCGCACCCAGA